CCUACGGGCGGCAGCAGUGGGGGAUAUUGGACAAUGGGGGGAACCCUGAUCCAGCGACGCCGCGUGAGUGAAGAAGUAUUUCGGUAUGUAAAGCUCUGUCAGCAGGGAAGAAAGAAAUGACGGUACCUGACCAAGAAGCCCCGGCUAACUACGUGCCAGCAGCCGAGGUAAUACGUAGGGGGCAAGCGUUAUCCGGAAUUACUGGGUGUAAAGGGAGCGUAGAAGGUUAAGUAAGUCUGGAGUGAAAGGCCGGGGCCCAACCCCGGGACUGCUCUGGAAACUAUUGAACUUGAGUGCAGGGGAGGUAAGCGGAAUUCCUAGUGUAGCGGUGAAAUGCGUAGAUAUUAGGAGGAACACCAGUGGCGAAGGCGGCUUACUGGACUGUAACUGACGUUGAGGCUCGAAAGCGUGGGGAGCAAACAGGAUUAGAUACCCUUGUAGUC
This 443-nucleotide ribosomal RNA is filed under the name uncultured bacterium. RNAcentral describes it as "partial 16S ribosomal RNA". It matches the Rfam family "Bacterial small subunit ribosomal RNA", at positions 338 to 795 of the family's 1533-position model. The record is from RNAcentral.